GACGAACGCUGGCGGCGCGCCUAACACAUGCAAGUCGAACGAGCGAGAGGAGGUUUACUUUCUCAAGCGAGUGGCGAACGGGUGAGUAACGCGUGAGGAACCUGCCUCAAAGAGGGGGACAACAGUUGGAAACGACUGCUAAUACCGCAUAAGCCCACGGCUCGGCAUCGAGCAGAGGGAAAAGGAGCAAUCCGCUUUGAGAUGGCCUCGCGUCCGAUUAGCUGGUUGGUGAGGUAACGGCCCACCAAGGCGACGAUCGGUAGCCGGACUGAGAGGUUGAACGGCCACAUUGGGACUGAGACACGGCCCAGACUCCUACGGGAGGCAGCAGUGGGGAAUAUUGCACAAUGGGGGAAACCCUGAUGCAGCGACGCCGCGUGGAGGAAGAAGGUCUUCGGAUUGUAAACUCCUGUUGUUGAGGAAGAUAAUGACGGUACUCAACAAGGAAGUGACGGCUAACUACGUGCCAGCAGCCGCGGUAAAACGUAGGUCACAAGCGUUGUCCGGAAUUACUGGGUGUAAAGGGAGCGCAGGCGGGAAGACAAGUCGGAAGUGAAAUCCAUGGGCUCAACCCAUGAACUGCUUUCAAAACUGUUUUUCUUGAGUAGUGCAGAGGUAGGCGGAAUUCCCGGUGUAGCGGUGGAAUGCGUAGAUAUCGGGAGGAACACCAGUGGCGAAGGCGGCCUACUGGGCACCAACUGACGCUGAGGCUCGAAAGUGUGGGUAGCAAACAGGAUUAGAUACCCUGGUAGUCCACACUGUAAACGAUGAUUAAAGGGUGUUGGAGGAUUGACCCCUUCAGUGCCGCAGUAACACAAUAA
This 821-nucleotide ribosomal RNA is filed under the name uncultured bacterium. RNAcentral describes it as "bacterial SSU rRNA". It matches the Rfam family "Bacterial small subunit ribosomal RNA", at positions 28 to 863 of the family's 1533-position model. The record is from RNAcentral.